This 424-nucleotide ribosomal RNA is filed under the name uncultured bacterium. RNAcentral's name for it is "bacterial SSU rRNA". It matches the Rfam family "Bacterial small subunit ribosomal RNA", at positions 29 to 487 of the family's 1533-position model. The record is from RNAcentral.
AACGAACGCUGGCGGCAUGCCUAACACAUGCAAGUCGAACGGGAUCCUAGCUUGCUAGGUGAGAGUGGCGGACGGGUGAGUAACACGUGGGAAUCUGCCUUUUGGUUCGGGAUAACCGCGGGAAACUGCGGCUAAUACCGAAUGCCCUCGAGAGAGGAAAGAUUUAUCGCCAGAAGAGGAGCCCGCGUCCGAUUAGGUAGUUGGUGGGGUAAAGGCCUACCAAGCCGACGAUCGGUAGCUGGUCUGAGAGGAUGAUCAGCCACACUGGGACUGAGAUACGGCCCAGACUCCUACGGGAGGCAGCAGUGGGGAAUAUUGGACAAUGGGGCGAACCCUGAUCCAGCAAUGCCGCGUGAGUGAUGAAGGCCUUAGGGUUGUAAAGACUCUUUUGCCAGGGGAAAGAUGAUGACUGUACCUGGAGAAU